AGUGAACGCUGGCGGUAGGCCUAACACAUGCAAGUCGAACGGCAGCACAGUAAGAGCUUGCUCUUACGGGUGGCGAGUGGCGGACGGGUGAGGAAUACAUCGGAAUCUACUUUUUCGUGGGGGAUAACGUAGGGAAACUUACGCUAAUACCUCAUACGACCUACGGGUGAAAGCAGGGGAUCUUCGGACCUUGCGCGAUUGAAUGAGCCGAUGUCGGCUUAGCUAGUUGGCGGGGUAAAGGCCCACCAAGGCGACGAUCCGUAGCUGGUCUGAGAGGAUGAUCAGCCAAACUGGAACUGAGACACGGUCCAGACGACUAAGGAAGGCAGCAGUGGGGAAUAUUGGACAAUGGGGGGAAGCCUGAUCCAGCCAUACCGCGUGGGUGAAGAAGGCGUUCGGGUUGUAAAGACCUUUUGUUGGGAAAGAAAAGCAGCAGGUUAAUACCACGCUGUUCUGACGGUACCAAAAGAAUAAGCACCGGCUAACUUCGUG
This 492-nucleotide ribosomal RNA is filed under the name uncultured bacterium. Its description in RNAcentral is "partial 16S ribosomal RNA". It matches the Rfam family "Bacterial small subunit ribosomal RNA", at positions 29 to 507 of the family's 1533-position model. The record is from RNAcentral.